This 200-nucleotide long non-coding RNA is filed under the name Cicer arietinum (chickpea). RNAcentral describes it as "long non-coding RNA (CARI_LNC000171)". Lineage: Eukaryota; Viridiplantae; Streptophyta; Magnoliopsida; Fabales; Fabaceae. The record is from RNAcentral.
AAAACAUUAUAAAUGUGAGACACCUUAAAGUUCAUCUCUCUCAAAAGAAAAAUACAAUUUUUCCACCUGUCAUCAAUUGCCAGAAGACUCAACUAAGAUUCUUAAAAGAGUCAACCACAAGCAAAUAAUUCUUUUCUGACUAGAGGUGAAGCCACCCUUUAGAAUAAGCAAUUUCGAUAGCAAACAUAAUUGCAAAUAAC